Molecule: transfer RNA, 54 nt
Filed under: Aspidoscelis sexlineatus (six-lined racerunner)
Lineage: Eukaryota; Metazoa; Chordata; Lepidosauria; Squamata; Teiidae
Also listed under: 1 other name
Description: tRNA-Cys
Source: RNAcentral
AGCCCCAGCUCAUGAACUGCAAAUUCAAAUAAGCACCAUAAAGGUGCCGGGGCU